GGGUAAUUUUCCGCAAUGGGCGAAAGCCUGACGGAGCAACGCCGCGUGAGGGAGGAAGGCCUGUGGGUUGUAAACCUCUUUUCUCAGGGAAGAAGUUCUGACGGUACCUGAGGAAUCAGCAUCGGCUAACUCCGUGCCAGCAGCCGCGGUAAGACGGAGGAUGCAAGCGUUAUCCGGAAUUAUUGGGCGUAAAGCGUCCGUAGGCGGUUCAGAAAGUCUGCUGUUAAAGCUCACAGCUCAACUGUGAAUCGGCAGUGGAAACUUCUGGACUAGAGAGUGGUAGGGGUAGAGGGAAUUCCUAGUGUAGCGGUGAAAUGCGUAGAUAUUAGGAAGAACACCAGUGGCGAAGGCGCUCUACUGGGCCAUUACUGACGCUGAUGGACGAAAGCUAGGGGAGCGAAAGGGAUUAGAUACCCCUGUAGUCCUAGCUGUAAACGAUGGACACUAGGUGUUGGCCGUAUCGACCCGGUCAGUAUCGAAGCAAACGCGUUAAGUGUCCC
This 500-nucleotide ribosomal RNA is filed under the name uncultured cyanobacterium. Its description in RNAcentral is "bacterial SSU rRNA". It matches the Rfam family "Bacterial small subunit ribosomal RNA", at positions 356 to 870 of the family's 1533-position model. The record is from RNAcentral. Lineage: Bacteria; Bacillati; Cyanobacteriota.